CGGAGCGUCGCGUUUGCAGGGAUGUGAGUGAGGAGCGGAGGGAGCGGAGCCUAACCGAGCCGAGCCGUCCCGUCACAACACGACCUCAUGGAGCUGGACACCAGACAGAGGCUUCAGACACUGGAACUCAGUCCUCAAUCGGCCCCUUGGGGCUGCCCUUGAAGGGAGAGACCCCUUUAACCCCUCCCUGGUUUCUCCCCCCCCCCCCCCCCCCUCCCCGCCCCUUCCAUUCCCAGCCCCCCUGCCCCAACUCCCCCUGUCCCAUCACCACCUGCCGCUGCCAUGAUCGGAAAGUUAAAGCAGAACCUUCUGGUGGCCUGCCUGGUCAUCAGCUCCAUAACGGUUUUCUAUCUGGGUCGGCAUGCCAUGGAAUGCCACCACCGCAUCGAGGAGCGUGGCCAGGCCAUGGGACCCGGCGCCCUGCGCUCCACCCUACGCACGGGACAAAACGUUAGCGCCGGAGCCUACAACAAGGACAUGCCGCUCAUCUUCAUCGGUGGAGUCCCGCGCAGCGGUACCACGCUAAUGCGCGCCAUGCUGGAUGCUCAUCCCGACGUGCGCUGUGGCGAGGAGACGCGCGUUAUCCCUCGCAUCUUGGCCAUGAAACAGAUGUGGAGCCGCUCAGGCCGCGAGAAGAUGCGUCUGGACGAGGCUGGAGUCACCGACGAGGUCCUGGACUCAGCCAUGCAGGCCUUCCUGUUGGAGAUAAUCGUGAAGCAUGGUGAGCCCGCCACCUACCUGUGCAACAAGGACCCCUUUGCGCUCAAGUCCCUCUCCUACCUGGCCAAGAUCUUUCCCCGAGCAAAGUUCAUCCUCAUGAUCAGGGACGGCCGGGCCUCCGUCCACUCGAUGAUCUCGCGCAAAGUGACCAUAGCCGGCUUUGACUUGGGCAGCUACCGCGACUGCCUGACCAAGUGGAAUCGUGCCAUCGAGACCAUGUACACGCAGUGCCUGGAGGUGGCCGACAAGUGCCUCCCGGUGCACUACGAGCAGCUGGUGCUGCACCCGGAGAAGUGGAUGCGGACACUUCUGCAGUUCCUCGAUAUCCCGUGGAACGAGGCGGUGCUGCACCACGAGGAACUCAUCGGCAAAGCGGGCGGCGUCUCCCUCUCCAAGGUGGAGAGGUCCACAGACCAGGUGAUCAAGCCUGUCAACGUGGAGGCCUUGUCCAAGUGGGUGGGCAAGAUCCCUCCGGAUGUCCUGCGGGACAUGCACAUCAUAGCACCCAUGCUGUCCCGACUGGGCUAUGACCCACACGCCAACCCCCCCAACUACGGCAGGCCUGACCCCCGUGUUCUGGACAACACUAGAAGGGUCUUUAAAGGUGAAUUUCAGCUCCCCGAUUUUCUAAAAGAACACCCACAGCUCCAGAAGUCUCCAGAGAAGCCCAACCCCAGUUAGGAGGAGGAGUGGAAGGCAAGAAUGUCCAAAGAAGCUGGCUUCAAUGAAGAUGGAAAGGAAGUCCGAUUCGUGUCCUAAGGGGCAGGGGGGAUGACACAAGGGACAGACCACGUGGGCACGGAGGACAGCCCUUACUCUCCAUGCAACCUGGGACCCUUUCAGUGUUUUCCUGUGGACGGUGUCUCACACACGCAGGACCAUCCUCAUCAGCGAUGGAGAACUCAAUGUUGUGUUGUACAGUAACGAGCGCAUCUGUCACAAUCUGUGGCCCAAGAAUGUUGUUGCUGGUUAAUCCCCCCCAUCACACCAUUACUCAUAGGGAUUCUAGUUUAUUCUGUGUUUAAAAAAAAAAAAAAAAAAAUCUGUGAUUCUGUUAUAAGAAAAAGCAGCAAAAUUAAUGGGAGAGACAGUAUUUAUGGAAGCUUAUGGAGAUGCAAUAUCUAUUUUUGUUCCUUUUUUUGAUGCCUUUGUAUAGUAAUUCCAUGGGUACUGAUGUACAAGACUAAUUUUGGGGUUUCGACUGUGUAAAGAAUCAGCAUUUUUGUAUCAUGUAUCCACAAUGAAAUGAUCUUUUUGUAUAUGGAGGACAGUAAUAAAUGAU
RNA transcript from Scleropages formosus (Asian bonytongue), 2002 nucleotides. It is a transcript of the gene named tyrosylprotein sulfotransferase 1, with no coding region annotated. The record is from RefSeq and is a predicted model, not a curated record. The transcript has 7 exons. NCBI's taxonomy places the organism in Eukaryota, Metazoa, Chordata, Actinopteri, Osteoglossiformes, Osteoglossidae.